CCACAUUUGUAAUAUUACAAAAUCAACUUCACUCCUGCAAACAUAGUUAAAUCAAAUGCGCGCACACACAUAUGUCUAUUUAUUGUAAUAAUUAUAUGACUCUUUAUAUGCUCUUCACAUAUGAUAGCAACUGAGAAAUUGGAGGAGCAGAGACUCAUAACUGACGCCACCUGCUAAUAGCCAAUAGACUAAACUAAGGGCAACUAAUUCUUCACAUACUUAAAUCUCCACACAAUUCACUUAUUAACUCAAACACACAUACUAAUAUUUAUAAUUUAUAUUUCCAAUAGUAGUAGUAGCAUCUUCAAGGAUAAACCUCGAUGAGAGCUCUGGGGCCUAGUACAGGGUUAAUCUUGUACUUGCUGAAUCCAGCACUGAAGAAGAGAUUUGCCCACUCCUUUUCGUUUCGCUGCUUACCAACCAGACAUGACAUCCCUUCUAUAUCAAAUAACAGCUUCGUUUCAGUGAACUUAUCAUCAUCAUCCUGGUCCCCCACCACCAUGUCAAUUAUUAUGACCUUCCCUCCUUGCUUGUCGUUUCUGGUAACAAGUGCCUCUUUGCAAUUCUUGAGUAUCUUCACGCAUUCUUCGUCCCUCCAAUCAUGCAAUGUCCACUUCAGUAAAAUUGCAUCAGCAGGAGGAACAGCCUUAAACAUGUCUCCUCCAAGAAAAUUCAAGUUCUUGCUGCCUUGCAAAUCAGCAACAACAUGUGGUUGAUCAAACACAGUGCACUUCAAGUCUGGGAAUGAAUCAGCAAUGGCCUUUGCCAUAUUUCCGGUGCCACCUGCAACAUCAACUAACGAAUUCAGCCCCUCGAAUACCUCCUUACACUUGAUAAUCACCGCCUUGCCAAUCAGGGAGCUAUCACCACCCAUGGAUGCAUUAAUCAGACGAUUAAACCCAGAUUCACGGCUUGACUUUUCCCACAUUGUCUCUCCAAAGGCAGUGACAAAUGCUGAAGGAUCAUCAUUUUGGAACCAAGUGCUCAUGCAAUUAUAUGGUUCCGUUAGAAUUGGAUCAAGCACCAGAGUAAUGAGGUGACUGGAACCAAAAGGGUUGUCCUUAAGGAGGAGACGAGAAGCAGGGGUAAGGAAAUAGCCUUCUUGGGAGUGAUUAUCAGCAACUUUCUGCAAAGCAAAGAAACCCGAGUGAAUAAGAAGACGCAUAAGACGGUAGAGAUGUUGUGUUUUUGUAGGGUGGACUGAUAGAGCAGAAACCAGCUCAGAAAGAGUCAUGGGUUUGCCAUGGCUGUUAAUGGCAUCUGAUAUGCCUAGUUGAACUGCACAUUUUAGGGACAUGGAUUUGAUGAAGUAAAACAUAUGAUCCCAUAUAUGAGUUUGAGCUUGAAUUAGCUCAUCUAUGGUUUCUCCACUAACCAACUCCAUCAAUUAAUCGACUCUUUUAGUAAUCUAAA
Molecule: unclassified non-coding RNA, 1413 nt
Filed under: Hevea brasiliensis (rubber tree)
Lineage: Eukaryota; Viridiplantae; Streptophyta; Magnoliopsida; Malpighiales; Euphorbiaceae
Source: RNAcentral